GACGAACGCUGGCGGCGUGCUUAACACAUGCAAGUCGAACGGAAAGGCCCUGCUUUUGUUGGUUGCUCGAUUGGCGAACGGGUGUGUAACACGUGAGUAUCCUGCCCUUGACUUUGGGAUAACUUCAGGAAACUGGGGCUAAUACCGGAUAUGAGCUCCUGCUGCAUGGUGGGGGUUGGAAAGUUUCGGCUGUUGGGGAUGGACUCGCGGCUUAUCAGCUUGUUGGUGGGGUAGUGGCUUACCAAGGCUUUGACGGGUAGCCUGCCUGAGAGGGUGACCGGCCACAAUGGGACUGAGAGACGGCCCAGACUCCUACGGGAGGCAGCAGUGGGGAAUAUUGCAGAAUGGGCGGAAGCCUGAUGCAGAAGCGCCGCGUGCGGGAUGACGGCCUUCGGGUGGUAAACCGAUUUCGCCUGUGACGAAGCGUGAGUGACGGUAAUGGGUAAAGAAGCACCGGCUAACUACGUG
RNAcentral lists this ribosomal RNA (468 nucleotides) under uncultured bacterium. Its description in RNAcentral is "partial 16S ribosomal RNA". It matches the Rfam family "Bacterial small subunit ribosomal RNA", at positions 28 to 507 of the family's 1533-position model. The record is from RNAcentral.